UCAAUACGUUCAUCGGCUAACUGUCUUUCUCAGGUCAAUAAGUUCAUCAGCUAACUGUCUUUCUCAGGUCAAUAAGUUCAUCGGCUAACUGUCUUUCUCAGGUCAAUAAGUUCACCAGCUAACUGUCUUUCUCAGGUCAAUAAGUUCAUUGGCUAACUGUCUUUCUCAGGUCAAUAAGUUCAUCGGCUAACUGUCUUUCUCAGGUCAAUAAGUUCAUCGGCUAACUGUCUUUCUCAGGUCAAUAAGUUCAUCGGCUAACUGUCUUUCUCAGGUCAAUAACUUCAUCGGCUAACUGUCUUUCUCAGGUCAAUAAGUUCAUCAGCUAACUGUCUUUCUCAGGUCAAUAAGUUCAUCAGCUAACUGUCUUUCUCAGGUCAAUAA
Molecule: long non-coding RNA, 381 nt
Organism: Oncorhynchus keta (chum salmon)
Lineage: Eukaryota; Metazoa; Chordata; Actinopteri; Salmoniformes; Salmonidae
Exons: 3
Source: RefSeq, a predicted model, not a curated record